GCUUCGCCCGGUUCUGAUGCGGCUCCUGCGCCAGCUGGAAGGCCUCCUUAAUCGGCAGCAGAACCCGGCAGCAGAACCCCAUGGCGCCAGAACCCGGCCGGUAAGAAUCUGUCGGCUCUCAGCCGUAUCUGGCUCGACUGACCACGGCCAGAUUUUCUGCAGACAAAAUUCAGACUUCGGUCAGCCGGCCGCGGACAGCCGAGGGCGUGGUUACCGCCAGAAAGCUCAAAUAACUCCCGCGGGAAAAGGCAAUACCGCGAGACGAACGCGAGGGCAGGGGCGACUCUUAGCUCCGCGCAUGCGCAGAGGGCCGAGCCAGCCUUUUUCCGGCUGGAAGUGUGAUUUCUGUGAGUGUUGAGGUUAGAUGGGAAGUGGUGUUGUGUAGAGAAUGGGGGGCGAGGCGCACCGCGAGUCGGCAGGCGAGGCGCGAGGUUCGCGGCGCUCGGCUGGAGGUGAGAAGGAAGAAAGGCAACCUCUGGUGGGAGUGGUCCGGAGUCCGCUAAAGGGAGACAUUCUGGGGUUCGUUGGCGGGAGGCACGUUUUGCUUUUGCUCAAGGGGCGAAUGGACAUCUACCGGGGGAAGGGGUAAGCGAUCCGGGAUCCGAGGGAAGAUGUUCUCGGGUCACAUGAAGGGGUCAGGCUGAGGUUCUUAGGCCUAGUUAGGUCCCUAGAGAACUGGAGCAAACGGGAGUCUCCUGGGAAGAGGGUUACAUUCUAAUCUACUUAAAGCUCGUACCUGCAAGUUCCUACUCUUGAGGCCUAAGUAUUACUGAUGUGUGCACAAUGGCAAUACAGGAAACAAAGGAUAAUACCAGAGACGGAAAGAAGGACCUGGCACAUCGUAAAUACUUACAUCUUAGUUGAUUGGAUGAAUGCUGUAGCAUUUGAGCUAAAUCAUGAAGAAUGAAUAGGAUUUCAAAUGACUUAAGGCAAGGGGAAUACCAGCCAGAGCGAAAGCAGAAGCAUGAAAGUGCAUGAGGUAUUUCAAGAACUCCCAUAGUCUUAGAGCUUCAAGUGUAGAAUAGUAUGGAGAUAUGGGAUGAAGGAGAAACCUAGAGAGAUAGGAUGAGGCUUUAAGAGGUAAAAAUUCAUGGCAGGGAAUUAAAGACCACACCUGUCAAGCAUCAUAGCAAUAAUGAUCAUUGCAUUAAGCAUGUAAGGCAAUCAUGCAGACCUGCUUAAAAUCCUAACACAUUUUCCUAGUCCAUUCGUAGCACCACUUUUGUAAACAACUAUUUCAUACCUUAUUCUGUCAAACUUGCAACAUUUUCUGCUUCUGACUCCCAUUUAGCUGUUACCUUGCAUCCUCUUUCAGUUAGAAAAGGACUUCCCCAUGCUUUCAUCCCCACAUCUAUCAGGUCUAUACCCUAAUAUAUUAUGUCUGCUAUUAUUGUAGGUGUAUUGUCUGCUUGAGGAGAGAGAGUAAGCCCUUUAAGAAUACUUUUUGGAUAUAACAGUCUGAAGCAUAGCUGAUUAUGAACUCCCACAGAGAACUGGAUUGAAAUGAGAAUAGUAAAAAUAUAAAAGAACAGAAUGAUUUAAAGACAAUUGUUUUUGUCUAAAAGAAUAAUUACUUAUUGUAAUAUAAAUGAGAUAUUAGGGUUUUUUUUAAUGUGUUUCUUAUUUUCAGGUAGAUUUAAGUGUUAGGCUUUAUAAGAUAAAUCUGAAUAUAGUUUACAUUUAUGUUUUUAUAAGACCAUUGUUUCUAGUAUCUAACAUUAUAAGCAGUUUAUUUUGAAAUAGAAUAUCGUUGAUCCAAUUUUAAAGAAUAGGUCAUACUAACCUUUGUCUUACAUAUUACCAAAUUGUUCAAAUAUAGUUUGGUAACUUAUUUUUCAUUGAUUAAUAAAAACAAUGUACAUGGUA
Long non-coding RNA from Aethalodelphis obliquidens (Pacific white-sided dolphin), 1866 nucleotides. RefSeq lists it as uncharacterized. The record is from RefSeq and is a predicted model, not a curated record. The transcript is spliced from 2 exons. NCBI's taxonomy places the organism in Eukaryota, Metazoa, Chordata, Mammalia, Artiodactyla, Delphinidae.